AGCUCUUUUCCACUAGGAAAAAGAAAAAAAGCUGUGGCCUUGGAGAUGCUGGAGAUAAUGACCAUGGGGUGGGCAGGGAAGGCCUCCUGCUUCAGCUGACAAGGUUUUUGCAGCUUGUCUUGAUGUACAUUUUCUUACUUCACCCUUAUGACCACCCUUUAAAAAGUAAGUAAUUUGGGAGGCUGAGAUGGGAGGAUCACUUGACCCCAGGAGUUCAAGACCAGCCAGGGCAACAUACUGAGACCCUGUCUCUACAAAAGAAAUUAUUAUUAUUAUUUUUUUUUUGAGACAGAGUCUCACUCUGUCACCCAGGCGGGAGUGC
This 322-nucleotide long non-coding RNA is filed under the name Homo sapiens (human). RNAcentral describes it as "HSALNT0036021". Lineage: Eukaryota; Metazoa; Chordata; Mammalia; Primates; Hominidae. The record is from RNAcentral.